Carassius gibelio (silver crucian carp) is the source of this 416-nucleotide long non-coding RNA. RefSeq lists it as uncharacterized. The record is from RefSeq and is a predicted model, not a curated record. The transcript has 2 exons. Lineage: Eukaryota; Metazoa; Chordata; Actinopteri; Cypriniformes; Cyprinidae.
AAGAGAACACGUCGCCCUUAUUUAUGGCCACUCAGAGUGAUGAGUGCUUGGCUGAUGAGGGAUGUGUGUGUGCGCAUGUGUGUAUGCAGACAGACUGAAUGCCCCAGACAGCACAGACGACGUGGGAUGGAUACUGAUGUGCAGUCUGUCUACUUAGCUGGAGGAGGAGGGGUGGUCAAGGUGACCCACUACCAGUUGUAUUGAUAUGGAGACGCCAUUAUCUGCUCCGACUGCCGGGCUGGCUGGAUGACAAACAUGGAGUCGAAAUCAUGGAAAUGGAGGAUCGAAAUCAAAACAUAUUAACCCUGCAUAGGAAUGAAUGUGUUUUUGCCCAAAGCUGCCAGAGAACAAAGCAAAGCUGUAUUACUACUCCCAUCACAUAUCUAUAAUAUGAAUAAAGAUCUGGUAACCUUUUA